UCCACGCAGUAAACGUUGUACACUAGGUGUAGCGGGUAUUGACCCCUGCUGUGCCGGAGCUAACGCAUUAAGUGUACCGCCUGGGGAGUACGGUCGCAAGACUAAAACUCAAAGAAAUUGACGGGGGCCCGCACAAGCGGUGGAGCAUGCGGUUUAAUUCGAUGAUACGCGAGGAACCUUACCUGGGCUUAAAUGCAGAGUGACAGUCCCGGAAACGGGAUCUUCUUCGGACA
Molecule: ribosomal RNA, 233 nt
Filed under: uncultured bacterium
Lineage: Bacteria
Description: partial 16S ribosomal RNA
Rfam family: Bacterial small subunit ribosomal RNA
Source: RNAcentral